AGUCAUAUGCUUGUUUUGAAGGCUAAGCCAUGCAUGUGCCAGUAUCAACUCUUGGAUGGUCAAGCUGCAAAUGGCUCAUUACAUCAUUUACGACUUAUGUGGCAGCACGUGUAAAUGGGUAGCUAUGGCAAUUCCGCAGCUAAUUCAUGCAUUUGGCAUAACUAUCUAGGACAUGUGGUGGUUGUUGACUAAACUAACACCAAGCCUACACUUGGAGUGCAUGAGAAAAGGGCAACUGCAUUGAUCUGGACAGACUUUGGUGAUGCACUACUUAGGUUUCUGACCUAUCAGCUAUUGUUGGUAUGGUAUUGGCUUACUCUGGCAUUUACGGGUGACGGGGAAUUAGGGUUUGAUUCCGGAGAGGGAGCCUUAGAAAUGGCCACCACAUCUAAGGAAGGCAGCAGGCGCGCAAAUUUCCCAAUCCUAGCGCAGGGAGGUAGUGACAAGAUAUAACAAUACAGGGCAAUUAUGUUUUGUAAUUGGAAUGAAUUUAUUGUAAGGCAUUUUGUAACUAGCAAUUGGAGGGCAAGUCUGGUGCCAGCAGCCGCGGUAAUUCCAGCUCCAAAGGCAUAUAUUAAAAUUGUUGCGGUUAAAAAGCUCGUAGUUGGACUGUAUCAAAGGUGGGAUGGUCUGCCCUCUGGGUAAGCAUCACACCCUUCUUUGUUAUGUUUUGUGAAAAUCUGCGUUGCGCUUGACUGUGUGGUGUGGUUGCUUGCACAUCUACUUUGAGGAAAUCAGAGUGUUCCACGCAAGUGUGCGCCAUGAAUAUAAUAGCAUGGGAUAGUCGAAUGUAUACAUAGAUAUGUUUGUUGGUUCAAAACGUGUGUUUACUAACAAGAAUAGUUGGGGGCAUCUGUAUUUGACUGUCAGAGGUGAAAUUCUUGGAUUUUUCAAAGACAAUCUACUGCAAACGCAUUUGCCAAAUAUGUUUCUAUUGAUCAAGAGCGAAAGUUAGGGGAUCGAAGACGAUCAGAUACCGUCGUAGUCCUAACCAUAAACCAUGCCAACUAAACAUUGGAGGUUGUUAUCUGUUGAUGCUUUCAGCACCUUAUGAUAAAUCAAAGUUUUUGGGCUCCGGGGGGAGUAUGGUCGCAAGGCUGAAACUUAAAGGAAUUGACGGAAGGGCACCACCAGGAGUGGAGCUUGCGGCUUAAUUUGAUUCAACACGGGGAAACUCACCAGGCCCGGACAUAUUUAGGAUUGACAGAUUGAAAGCUCUUUCUUGAUUCUAUGGGUGGUGGUGCAUGGCCGUUCUUAGUUGGUGGAGUGAUUUGUCUGGUUAAUUUCGUUAACGAACGAGACCUUGUCUGACUAAAUAAUUACGUGCACGUAUCACUGCAUGGGCAAUUUCUUAGAGGGACUUUGCGUGCUUAACACAAGGAAGUUUGAGGUGAUAACAGGUCUGUGAUGCCCUUAGAUGUUUUGGGCUGCACGCGUGCUACACUGGUUUAAUUAACGAGCUGCUGGUCUUGUUUGAAAGCGUGGGGUAAACUUUAAUGUAAAUCGUGAUUGGGGUGGAUUGUUGCAAUUAUUGAUCUUGAACGAGGAAUUCCUAGUACGCCGAAGUCAUCAGCUUGGGCUGACUACGUCCCUGCCCUUUGUACACACCGCCCGUCGCUCCUACCGAUUGAGUAAUCCGGUGAAAUGCUUGGCUUGGCACAGUGGUCAUAAAUGAGUGUUGUGCAAUAAGUGCUUUGAACCUUGUUACUUAGAGGAAGGAGAAGUCGUAACAAGGUUUCU
RNAcentral lists this ribosomal RNA (1740 nucleotides) under Pyrophacus steinii. Its description in RNAcentral is "SSU rRNA". It matches the Rfam family "Eukaryotic small subunit ribosomal RNA". Lineage: Eukaryota; Dinophyceae; Peridiniales; Pyrophaceae. The record is from RNAcentral.